RNAcentral lists this long non-coding RNA (455 nucleotides) under Pan troglodytes (chimpanzee). Its description in RNAcentral is "long non-coding RNA NONPTRT016889". The record is from RNAcentral. Lineage: Eukaryota; Metazoa; Chordata; Mammalia; Primates; Hominidae.
CGGGACCAACGCGCGCAGGCGCGCGGCUGGGCCGGGGACCAGGGCGGGAUCGGGGCCUGCGUGCUCGCGCCGGGGGUGACGCGGGAGGGCGGCAGCGGCGGCGGCGGGAGCGCGCCCGUUGCAAGAUGGCGGCGGCCAUGCUGGGCCCCGGGGCUGUGUGUGCGCAGCGGGCGGCGGCACGGCCCGGAAGGCUGGCGCGGCGACGGCGUUAGCCCGGCCCUCGGCCCCUCUUUGCGGCCGCUCCCUCCGCCUCUUCCCUCCUUGCCCGAGAUGGAUCUGCCCGUGGGCCCCGGCGCGGCGGGGCCCAGCAACGUCCCGGCCUUCCUGACCAAGCUGUGGACCCUCGUGAGCGACCCGGACACCGACGCCCUCAUCUGCUGGAGCCCGUUGCCUGGCAGCAGGCUUGUUUACAUGGUCCGACCCUGCAAGACCGGACAGCUCCGGUUUGCAGAAGU